Molecule: non-coding RNA, 346 nt
Organism: Phascolarctos cinereus (koala)
Lineage: Eukaryota; Metazoa; Chordata; Mammalia; Diprotodontia; Phascolarctidae
Source: RefSeq, a predicted model, not a curated record
UAGAGCUUCCAUUUACUCCCUCUACUGUUUCACAGAUCUCCUUUCUUGUCAGUCUUUCAGAGAAGGCAAGGGACCAUUAGAAGGACACUGCUUCAAAAAGGAUUUGGCCAAGAGGAAGCUGGUCGAGGUUAACAAGAUUAAAGGAUGAGGUCCGACUUCUAGUUAAGAAAGUUUUGGAGGGAAAAGAAAGAAAUCUGCUCACCAUUAAUGAUAAUGAAUUAAGAGGGAAAAAGGAUCAGCCUACCAUCAUGAGCAACAGAAAAGCAGGAAGACUGUGUCCAGAUGAAUCAAUGUUGUAUCACUGCUGAAUAUGUUUUCCAAGCUCUAAAUUCCCUUUCCUAAGCAU